RNA transcript from Phoenix dactylifera (date palm), 1802 nucleotides. It is a transcript of the gene named RNA-binding KH domain-containing protein, with no coding region annotated. The record is from RefSeq and is a predicted model, not a curated record. Lineage: Eukaryota; Viridiplantae; Streptophyta; Magnoliopsida; Arecales; Arecaceae.
CCCCUAAAAUCUCCUCGCUGCUCUCUGAUCGGCGUCUACUGCCAAUCCCGUCGCCCCGCCUCUCGCUGCUAAUAUUUUCCCUCGUCUCAACACAAACCCUAAUCCCUAACAUUUCUCUCUCCAGCGCAACUCGAAACCCUAGGCGUCUUCCUGGUCUCCGACCAUGGAAGCAGUUCCGGGCGAGAACGGCGGCCUGGAGAAAACAGAGGGGAGGGGGAAGAAGCACAAGGGCAAGCACGACAAGGACAAGCCGUGGGACGACCCCAGCGUCGACCACUGGAAGAUCGAGAAGUUCGAUCCCUCCUGGAACGAUAGCGGCAUGCUCGAAGUCAGCUCCUUCUCCACUCUCUUCCCCCAGUACAGAGAAAAGUAUUUGCAAGAAGUAUGGCCUAUGGUGAAAAGUGCAUUAAAAGAGAACAGCAUUGCAUGUGAGCUCAAUCUGGUUGAGGGUUCCAUGACUGUCUCAACAACUCGGAAGACUAGGGAUCCGUAUAUCAUUAUCAAAGCUAGGGAUCUCAUAAAACUUUUGUCACGGAGUGUUCCUGCACCUCAGGCAAUCAAGAUCCUGAAUGAUGAUAUGAAUUGUGACAUUAUCAAGAUUGGUAACCUUGUGCGCAACAAGGAACGAUUCGUGAAAAGAAGAGAACGCCUUUUAGGCCCUAAUUUAUCAACUCUUAAGGCCAUUGAAAUUUUGACCGGAUGCUAUGUAUUGGUUCAGGGAAACACUGUUGCAGCCAUGGGGUCAUUUAAGGGUCUAAAACAGGUUCGUAGGAUCGUGGAAGAUUGCAUCCAAAAUGUGCAGCAUCCUGUGUACCACAUCAAGACCCUCCUGAUGAAGCGAGAGCUUGCCAAAAAUCCUGCACUAGCCAAUGAGAAUUGGGAUAGGUUUCUCCCAAAGUUUAAGAAGAAGAAUGUUAAGCAGCGGAAAGCGAAGGCUAAGGAGAAGAAACCUUACACACCGUUUCCUCCUCCACAGCAACCUAGCAAGAUUGACCUUCAAUUAGAAAGUGGUGAGUAUUUCAUGAGUGACAAAAGGAAAUCCGCAAAGAAGUGGCAAGAGAAGCAGCAGAAGCAGGCAGAGAAAACAGCUGAAAACAAGAGAAAGAGGGAGGCUGCAUUCAUUCCACCGAAGGAACCUUCUAGUCAUGUGGCUGAUUCUACUAAAUCUGACAAUGACAAUGAUGAGGUUGCAGCCAUGGCAAAGUCCUUAAAGAAGAAGGCAAAGGAGUUUAAGCAGCAGGAAGCCCAUGAAAAUGUCAAUGCUGAGUCAUAUAUUGUCAAUGCAGAAAAUGCGCGUUCUAAAAAGAAGCUGAAAUCUUCCAAGUCUAAUUAAUCAAAGGCCAGUUUCAAUCACAUGGAGAGAGGGGACAGGAUUGCUUUUUUCCUUUGAUUUUCUUUAUUGAAACAAAAGCACUGUGUUUUUGUCUUAUAAACCGAAAGGAGUAGAAGUGAAAGCUCAAUUUUCAGGUUGGCUGCUCUGCGACGCGAUGAUCCUAGUACUUUUUUUUUUUGAGCAACUGCUUCAUGCCGUCAUGGUGUUAAGAACUAACCAACAAUUAUAUGCUGUCUUGUAACACAUCAGUUUGAGGGUGUCAAAAUCAGUUGAACAGGUCGAGUGUUUUUAGCCUUUGUUCAUUGCAAAGACUGCAACGCUGAUGAGGGUUAUUAAUAGGAACUGGCAAUUGACAGGUUACUGGUUUGACGGGGGAAAACACAUGGUAGGAUUCCCGCUGCUUAGGAUUCAUGUAAAUAUAAAAGCUUUUGGUGUCAAUCCAAUCCACGGUAGUUGGGACCUUUACAAA